This 436-nucleotide ribosomal RNA is filed under the name Enterococcus faecium. RNAcentral's name for it is "bacterial SSU rRNA". It matches the Rfam family "Bacterial small subunit ribosomal RNA", at positions 1096 to 1533 of the family's 1533-position model. The record is from RNAcentral. Lineage: Bacteria; Bacillati; Bacillota; Bacilli; Lactobacillales; Enterococcaceae.
GCGCAACCCUUAUUGUUAGUUGCCAUCAUUCAGUUGGGCACUCUAGCAAGACUGCCGGUGACAAACCGGAGGAAGGUGGGGAUGACGUCAAAUCAUCAUGCCCCUUAUGACCUGGGCUACACACGUGCUACAAUGGGAAGUACAACGAGUCGCGAAGUCGCGAGGCUAAGCUAAUCUCUUAAAGCUUCUCUCAGUUCGGAUUGCAGGCUGCAACUCGCCUGCAUGAAGCCGGAAUCGCUAGUAAUCGCGGAUCAGCACGCCGCGGUGAAUACGUUCCCGGGCCUUGUACACACCGCCCGUCACACCACGAGAGUUUGUAACACCCGAAGUCGGUGAGGUAACCUUUUGGAGCCAGCCGCCUAAGGUGGGAUAGAUGAUUGGGGUGAAGUCGUAACAAGGUAGCCGUAUCGGAAGGUGCGGCUGGAUCACCUCCUUU